UGCUUCAUUGCCCAGGCUGGAGUGCAGUGGCACGAUCUCGGCUCACUGCAGCCUCUGCCUCCUGGGUUCCAGCAGUUCUCCUGCCUCAGCCUCCUGGGUAGCUGGGAUUACAGGCACACGCCACCACGCCCAGCUAAUUUUCGGGUUUUUAGUAGAGAUGGUGUUUUGCCAUGUGGGCCAGGCUGGUCUCGAACUCCUGACCUCAGGUGAUCCACCCGCCUCAGCCUCCCAUGGUGCUGGGAUUAAAG
RNAcentral lists this long non-coding RNA (248 nucleotides) under Homo sapiens (human). RNAcentral's name for it is "LHRI_LNC1079.1". Lineage: Eukaryota; Metazoa; Chordata; Mammalia; Primates; Hominidae. The record is from RNAcentral.